ACAAAACACUUUCUUAAACAAAACUAAAGUGAAGAUCUUUCUUUACCUUACUAUUUUCAGUGUGGAGCACAAAGGUGCCUUCAUUGCGUACAUCUAUAUACAAGAAGUAAAGGCAAACCGUGGAAGAACUUUUGGGGCUAUAUACCAUAGAGUUAGUAGCAUACAAGUGAAAGUAAAAGAGAGAGAUAGUUAUGUAUAAACCUUCUUUAGAUUCUCAAGUAUACUGAACUAAGCAAAAGUAGAUUUGUAUAUGCAUGGACAGGCUCGAUCAAGAAAGCUAAUGAUGUCAUAAAGGACACAAUCACACCUGAGCUUAAAUAAGAGCCUGCAAGUGUCAC
Molecule: long non-coding RNA, 338 nt
Filed under: Brassica napus (rape)
Lineage: Eukaryota; Viridiplantae; Streptophyta; Magnoliopsida; Brassicales; Brassicaceae
Description: long non-coding RNA (BNAP_LNC020055)
Source: RNAcentral